RNAcentral lists this ribosomal RNA (244 nucleotides) under uncultured bacterium. RNAcentral describes it as "partial small subunit ribosomal RNA". It matches the Rfam family "Bacterial small subunit ribosomal RNA", at positions 26 to 285 of the family's 1533-position model. The record is from RNAcentral.
AGAAUCAACGCUGGCGGCGUGCCUAACACAUGCAAGUCGAACGAGAAAGUGGAGCAAUCCAUGAGUAAAGUGGCGCACGGGUGAGUAACACGUGACUAACCUACCCUUGAGUGGGGGAUAACCUAGAGAAAUCUGGGCUAAUACCGCAUAAUACCUUCGGGUCAAAGCAGCAAUGCGCUGGAAGAGGGGGUCGCGGCUGAUUAGCUAGUUGGCGGGUAACGGCCCACCAAGGCGAAGAUCGGUA